RNAcentral lists this ribosomal RNA (1150 nucleotides) under Escherichia coli. RNAcentral describes it as "partial 23S ribosomal RNA". It matches the Rfam family "Bacterial large subunit ribosomal RNA", at positions 419 to 1572 of the family's 2925-position model. The record is from RNAcentral. Lineage: Bacteria; Pseudomonadati; Pseudomonadota; Gammaproteobacteria; Enterobacterales; Enterobacteriaceae.
GGGACACGUGGUAUCCUGUCUGAAUAUGGGGGGACCAUCCUCCAAGGCUAAAUACUCCUGACUGACCGAUAGUGAACCAGUACCGUGAGGGAAAGGCGAAAAGAACCCCGGCGAGGGGAGUGAAAAAGAACCUGAAACCGUGUACGUACAAGCAGUGGGAGCACGCUUAGGCGUGUGACUGCGUACCUUUUGUAUAAUGGGUCAGCGACUUAUAUUCUGUAGCAAGGUUAACCGAAUAGGGGAGCCGAAGGGAAACCGAGUCUUAACUGGGCGUUAAGUUGCAGGGUAUAGACCCGAAACCCGGUGAUCUAGCCAUGGGCAGGUUGAAGGUUGGGUAACACUAACUGGAGGACCGAACCGACUAAUGUUGAAAAAUUAGCGGAUGACUUGUGGCUGGGGGUGAAAGGCCAAUCAAACCGGGAGAUAGCUGGUUCUCCCCGAAAGCUAUUUAGGUAGCGCCUCGUGAAUUCAUCUCCGGGGGUAGAGCACUGUUUCGGCAAGGGGGUCAUCCCGACUUACCAACCCGAUGCAAACUGCGAAUACCGGAGAAUGUUAUCACGGGAGACACACGGCGGGUGCUAACGUCCGUCGUGAAGAGGGAAACAACCCAGACCGCCAGCUAAGGUCCCAAAGUCAUGGUUAAGUGGGAAACGAUGUGGGAAGGCCCAGACAGCCAGGAUGUUGGCUUAGAAGCAGCCAUCAUUUAAAGAAAGCGUAAUAGCUCACUGGUCGAGUCGGCCUGCGCGGAAGAUGUAACGGGGCUAAACCAUGCACCGAAGCUGCGGCAGCGACGCUUAUGCGUUGUUGGGUAGGGGAGCGUUCUGUAAGCCUGCGAAGGUGUGCUGUGAGGCAUGCUGGAGGUAUCAGAAGUGCGAAUGCUGACAUAAGUAACGAUAAAGCGGGUGAAAAGCCCGCUCGCCGGAAGACCAAGGGUUCCUGUCCAACGUUAAUCGGGGCAGGGUGAGUCGACCCCUAAGGCGAGGCCGAAAGGCGUAGUCGAUGGGAAACAGGUUAAUAUUCCUGUACUUGGUGUUACUGCGAAGGGGGGACGGAGAAGGCUAUGUUGGCCGGGCGACGGUUGUCCCGGUUUAAGCGUGUAGGCUGGUUUUCCAGGCAAAUCCGGAAAAUCAAGGCUGAGGCGUGAUGACGA